This 94-nucleotide transfer RNA is filed under the name Thaumarchaeota archaeon CSP1-1. RNAcentral describes it as "tRNA-Val". It matches the Rfam family "tRNA". From Rfam's summary of the family: Transfer RNA (tRNA) molecules are approximately 80 nucleotides in length. Their secondary structure includes four short double-helical elements and three loops (D, anti-codon, and T loops). Further hydrogen bonds mediate the characteristic L-shaped molecular structure. tRNAs have two regions of fundamental functional importance: the anti-codon, which is responsible for specific mRNA codon recognition, and the 3' end, to which the tRNAs corresponding amino acid is attached (by aminoacyl-tRNA synthetases). tRNAs cope with the degeneracy of the genetic code in two manners: having more than one tRNA (with a specific anti-codon) for a particular amino acid; and 'wobble' base-pairing, i.e. permitting non-standard base-pairing at the 3rd anti-codon position. Lineage: Archaea; Thermoproteati; Nitrososphaerota. RNAcentral also lists the same sequence under 3 other names. The record is from RNAcentral.
GGACCGGUUGUCUAGUGGCUAGGAUGACGCCCUCACACGGCGUAAAGAUGUAAAAAUCUCGCUAAGGUCAUGGGUUCAAAUCCCAUCCGGUCCA